Molecule: transfer RNA, 77 nt
Filed under: Deltaproteobacteria bacterium
Lineage: Bacteria; Pseudomonadati; Myxococcota; Myxococcia
Also listed under: 1 other name
Description: tRNA-Met
Rfam family: tRNA
About the family: Transfer RNA (tRNA) molecules are approximately 80 nucleotides in length. Their secondary structure includes four short double-helical elements and three loops (D, anti-codon, and T loops).
Source: RNAcentral
GGCGGGGUAGCUCAGUUGGUUAGAGCGGAUGCUUCAUACGCAUUAGGUCGGGGGUUCGAAUCCCUCCCCCGCUACCA